RNAcentral lists this long non-coding RNA (4271 nucleotides) under Marmota monax (woodchuck). The record is from RNAcentral. Lineage: Eukaryota; Metazoa; Chordata; Mammalia; Rodentia; Sciuridae.
CUUGGCAACCCGGUAAACAUUGGAAGAAAUCCUGUAAACCAGGGAGCUGUUUGUGGCAUCUGGCAAGCUUCCUAAGGAGAAUCGUUGGUCCAGAAGUUAAUCCAAGGCGUUUCUGUGUUCUUAUCACAUGGUGUCACUUCACAAUCAGAUGGUAACAAUCGGCAUGUUCUUCCUGCCCUUCUACCUGCCAACAGUGCUUCUCAGACCUCACUGUGCAAGAGAGCCAGUCACCUGGGGAUCCUGUAAAAUGCAGAUCUACUUCGGUAGAUCCCAGGUAGGGCCAAGAUUCUGCCUGUGCUGCUGGCUCGGGGAACAGCCCGGAUCCUUGACCAUGUCCAAACCCUAAAGGGUAUCAUGGUCUAAUGCUAACAGAGCCUUCUGUUCCCAAGACGUUGAACAUCUUUAGGUGACAUUAUUGCCAUUCUCCCCAGCAGGAUUCCCCACCCCCCACUCCAAGAUGGAAAGGCACUGGAUAGGGACAUCCCGUGAGUCCUCACCAUGAGAAGGCCACUGCAGCCUGCCUUUUUUAUCCUGAACCUCUCUUCGUCUUCUGGGCAUGGGCUGUGUGUCCCCAACUCUCUACAGGCUAGUGAGGAUGCACUCACCCCUUCCUCUUCCUGUGAACUGUACUCUUUCUCGAAGUGAGGAAGGAGUCCCGAGCUGUCUGUCACCGGAGUCUUUUCAUGGGACCCAUGAGCCCUCUUCCUAAGUCUUCAUUCCACAGUGUUUUAUGAAGCCCUCUUGUCUUCAUUCUCCAAUGUGCAGAGCAAGAGCAAGAGCAAGGGUUCAGCAAGUUCAGAGGCACAAGAAGGAUUUCAGCAGUGGUGGCGAGAGGGAAGAUGCUAGAAGCUUUGUGAGCAAAGGUUUCAAGGUUUAAGAGUUCUUCAACACUGACUCGAAGGAAGAAUUGAGAAAGGAUGUUCCCCGGGGAGGGCCCAGCAUGGCAUCUCCCUGCUGCUGGUUCAGAAUCACCAGUUGCAGACAUGGGUUUCCGACUAGCUGAAGAAAUUAAGGCAGAGUGACAGAGCUGCUCCCGCCUCCUCUUGCUCCCCUCGGUUGCUCCAGCGGAAAUAGAUUAAAUCUUCAGUUGCUUAUUGUAUUUCCAUGGAAUUUUCACAUAAAUUAGCAAAUCAGCAUCAUUAUUUGAAAAUCUUAGGAAACAUGAUUCAGGGUUUGUCAUUAUUUUUUCCAAGGAAGAAACUACUGUGGAUAUUUUCUGCAAGGAUACCUGGUGACUUUCCCAGUCAGAAGCCGGCCAGCAGACCUGCAUGCGACCAUCUAAGAGGAAACUGGGUUCUGCCGUAAGAGUAAACAUAGUUACUUCUGGCAUACUUUCUGUUCAUGAUGUUUUCUCUUGGUGUAGUUAAAAAAAAAAAAAAAAGCCUCAUUCCUGAUGGUUGCCAAAGAUGUGGCCUUUGGAAAGGGGAGUUUAAUCGUUGUCCUAGAGUUGCUUGCCUUACUUUAUCAACAUCAGUGCUGGUUUGUGGCUUUGGGUAUGUGAAUGAGCUGUUGUGGCUUGGUUUGGGAUGAUGGCAGGAUGUGAAUUUCGUCAGAUGGGUGAUGAGGCCUGGUGCACCCCACAACCCUCUGAAGCUGGCGCUGGGCCUAAGUGGGAGGACUGGAGCCUCCACUGCAUUUCUGUCUGGUUGUUUUCUUCCAGAGAUUUUUCCUUGAAAACCUUAAACUACAGAUAGGAAGCAGUGUUUCUGUGAGCCCUGGCCUAAGAAGACGUGUGGUUCAAGAUGGACACCUUUUAUACUGUGACCUCUUCAGCUGGAGAGUGUUUUAGUUUAUUGGGGUGCGGCGACACACACCGCAGACUUUGUGUUAACCAACAAAAACUUAUUUCCUUCUAUGCCUGGUGCCUGGAAGUUCAGGAUCAGGGUCCAGGCAGGUUGGUUUCUUCUGAGCCUUCUUUCUUGUAGAUGACACCGUAUUGUGUCUUCACAUGGUCUCUCCUCUGAUGUCAUUUUGUAUGUCCAAAUCUUCUCUUCUUGUAAUGCUACCAGGCAGAUUGAUUAGGGUUCACCACAAUGGCCUUAUUUCAUCACCUUUUAAAGGUGAAGACUCCAUCACUUUCUGAGGUACUGGGUUUAGAACUUCAACAUAGACAUUUUGGAAGUGAUACCAUUCAGUCCAAAACAGGGUUCAUAGAGACCACCUUGAAAUUGCAAAACUGUUUCUCAGACUUGGCUUAUGGUUCUUCCUUUUCCUUGUAAGUGUGGUUCUGCCUUCAUCUAGUGGGCAAAGGGCAGUUCUGGAAUUUCAUCAUGGAGGUUAGAAGUGGAAUGGUGACAUAAUUCUUUAAACCAUAUUCUAGGCCAUUGGAAGAGGCCUAGAAGAUUUCCUGCAAAAUACAUCCAGGAAGUUAUGUGAAGAAUAGAGGGGACUUGCCUCUUAGAAGUCUGGGAUGUGCUCUUGCAUCCUCAUGACUGCCCCAGACCUGCCACCACCAGCAGGAACAUCAGGGGCUGGGGACCUGGAGGGCCUCAGCAAAACAACUGGGUCUGUGCUCAGUAGAUCCUGAGGUCCAGUGGGUGGUGAAGUGUGCCAGGUGGCACCAUUGGCUCCUGUAGGAGCCCGGCACAAUCAUCUCUGAGCCACAGCAGCUGGCUUAGUCAAUGCCUGGCCCUUAGUAGAUAUUCCGUGAGUAACCAAGAGUGGAUGACCAAGCGAAUGCAUCGACGACUUGGCAAACCACUCCCCACCUCCUGCACUCAGAAAUUUUUCAGAAGAAUGUCAGCUAUUGGGGAACCUCCUCUUAGUUGUCUUGAUUGUUUUCUGUCAUUGUGUCCCCCUAAGACAUUCGCUGUGGACUCCUCCAGUAGAGUUCAGCCCUGCAUACAUUGGCUUCAAGGCAGGUGUUGGACAUCCUGUUUGAACCUGGACUGGAGGGUCACUGGUGCCACACGACUGAGAGACAAUAGCAGUGUUCUGAAUUCCCCUCCAUAAUUUGCCAUUCGGGAAUCUUGGGUACACACCACUAAUACAGAUUUUGAAGAACCACAGUGAGUCAUCUGGUAGAUGCAUUUUCAAACUCCAGGGCACACUAGAUUAUCACCUAAACCACCACAUUAAAAAAUGAACAUUACUAUAAAAGAAAUAAAAAUAAUAUUAUAUAGUCACAGCUUAAGUUCUAGAUGAUGCUGUUGAGGUUUUUGAACACCAGCUGCCACAACUGUGGCUGCUGCUGACGCUCCUUUCUCCCCGUGCCAUUGAGGGUCACCGGGGGCAUGAGUCAGAACAGGUCAGCACCCAGGCCAGGCGUGCGGAGGCACAGCACCUAGUCCUUGGCCAAGGACUGCCUUGCUUUCAUCAUAGAGGAUGGAGAUAAUGAAGAGCAUGAGUAACAGGUGAAAAAUGAAGAACCUCAGACGUGGUCUUUGGUCAUACCCCAGCACCUGGCAAUCAAAAUCUGAUUUGGAUUCCAAGCCCUUGUUCCUUCCCUGGUGUUUGACCACAACAGGCCAGUUCAGCAACUGCAGUUCAGCAAAAUCAUCAAACCUACACAAAAUAAGAAGCAAGCACGUAAAUUAAGCCCAAGGAAGAAAAGCAAGCGUUGCUUCCCAGGGGCUGGCGUAGUCCUCCGCUGGAAUCUGCAGUGUGAACUUAGAAGAAGAGCGUUUUCCUUCCGUGGUGCUGAGAGAGCAUUCUUCGGCCAGCAUGUUUUAAAGAUUAGUAGAUUUACUGGUAGGUGUAGAUUCAAUGACACUUUUUGAAUUUUCAUGAGUAAUGUUUUUUAAUUAAAACAAUGAUUAUGAUGGUAAGCAAUUUAUCAAUUUUAUCUCAAAACAAAGACAAAGAUUUUAAAAGUGCUAUAACAGUAUGUACAUUAUAUCUCAAUAAAGCUGUUUUAAAAGUACUAUGCUUUUAUUUCAAAAUGUUUAAUAUUGCAGAGAAUUUUGUCUGCCUUAACUUUGUUAUUAUGUUAACCCUUUGAAAAUGUCCAAUUUCCCAGUUGAAGAGAACAUAAAUGAGCUUUCGCAGAAAUCAUAGUCAUGCCGUUUUAAAAGGAGAUCUGUUCUGAUGAUUGAUAUGUUAAUUUCAAAAUUCAUAUUCAUUCAGCUUAUAUCCAGCCAUGCAAAACAAAUUUUGUAUGUAGCUUUGAAAGCAAAAAUGUACUGUCAUUAAAAUAUAUUGACUGUCUUUAAAAAAAAAAAGAUGAGCUAAACACACAAAUAUUCAGGGACACACAAUGUGUAUGGACAGAUGGGAAAUUAAAACAGCUGUGAGAUAAGAGGAUAAAAGUAAAGCAGUUGGAUAAGGAAAAG